RNAcentral lists this ribosomal RNA (440 nucleotides) under uncultured bacterium. RNAcentral describes it as "partial 16S ribosomal RNA". It matches the Rfam family "Bacterial small subunit ribosomal RNA", at positions 338 to 795 of the family's 1533-position model. The record is from RNAcentral.
CCUACGGUGGGCAGCAGUGAGGAAUAUUGGUCAAUGGGGGAAACCCUGAACCAGCAACGCCGCGUGAGGGAAGACGGUUUUCGGAUUUUAAACCUCUGUCCUCUGUGAAGUUAAUGACGGUAGCAGUGGAGGAAGCUACGUCUAACUACGUUCCAGCAGCCGCGGUAAUACGUAGGGAGCAAGCGUUGUCCGGAUUUACGGGGGGUAAAGGGUGCGUAGUCGGCCCUGCAAGUCAGAAGUGAAAUCCAUGGGCUUAACCCGUGAACUGCUGUUGAAACUGUAGGGCUUGAGUGAAGUAGAGGCAGGCGGAAUUCACGGUGUAGCGGUGAAAUGCGUAGAGAUCGGGAGGAACACCAGUGGCGAAGGCGGCCUGCUGGGCUUUAACUGACGCUGAAGCACGAAAGCGUGGGUAGCAAACAGGAUUAGAUACCCCAGUAGUC